CUGAGGCUCCGCCCACCAGAUCCCGUGCACUGCUCUCAGCGGGAAUGCUGAAAAGGUCAGAGCGUAGAGUUUGGCCAUGGUGACGGCUGCUUUCUCCGAGGGAGCUCAACUCCACUGUCAAGGGUCUCAUUAGAUUCGAGUCUCUUGGAGGGCAGGGAGCGCAUCAGCUGAAUUCUACUCUAUUCUCCCAGGCAUUGGGUAUGGUGCUCUGCACAGAAUAAAAAGAGAUGCCAUGUUGCUUGGUUGUAUCAGAGUGAACCCUACCUGUGAACCAGAUGACCUCGGGGCAAUGUCCCAUGGAUGAAGAUGGAAAUGUUCUGUUGAGUCACCGCAGUUGUGUGGAUGUGGUUGCAUCCAAAGAGGAAACGGUGAAAUGGAAGCUUUCCUGAGUUAUGCCAGGACCUGCUGACCUCCUCACUGUACCUCGGUAUUGUUGACCUCACCGCUGACCUCUUGCCCACAUCCCAACCCU
This is a long non-coding RNA of Ornithorhynchus anatinus (platypus), 472 nucleotides long. RefSeq lists it as uncharacterized. The transcript is spliced from 3 exons. Lineage: Eukaryota; Metazoa; Chordata; Mammalia; Monotremata; Ornithorhynchidae. The record is from RefSeq and is a predicted model, not a curated record.